GCUUUGUCCUUCCGAACAACCGCAGCAACGUCAUUCGCCCGGAAACAUUCGUCAUGGCCGGGUUCUUGGUGCAGGGAGAGAGAGUAGCCAUAGCUCCGGCCGUCCUUGCCAGCAUUUAUUACGGUUUGGGCGCUCGCUCCAAGGGAAAAAUGGAGUGGAGACUUCCUUUCCCAUAUCGUCUAAAAUCCAUUGGGAUGAUAUCUUUCUUUGUUGGAGCUAGAACUCUCCCGAUUCAUUACUGGGACUGCAUUUAUAUACUUUUACAGUAUAAUAAAAGUGUUUGGGCUAAGCAGC
This 294-nucleotide long non-coding RNA is filed under the name Vitis vinifera (wine grape). Its description in RNAcentral is "long non-coding RNA (VVIN_LNC006146)". Lineage: Eukaryota; Viridiplantae; Streptophyta; Magnoliopsida; Vitales; Vitaceae. The record is from RNAcentral.